This is a long non-coding RNA of Struthio camelus australis, 1928 nucleotides long. The record is from Ensembl. NCBI's taxonomy places the organism in Eukaryota, Metazoa, Chordata, Aves, Struthioniformes, Struthionidae.
GCCAAAUAAGAUGGGCUGGAUCAAUAUUCUUAUAUUUCUCUGAUGCUUUUGAUUUGUUCUGUGGGUUACUUUUAUUUCCAUUUUUAAAAUGAAGUUCAAGAGUCUAGGUCCAGCAGACUGGAUUCUACUAUUUUUCUCAUUUUUUCCAUUCUCGUAAUAAUACUUUGUUCAUGGGGACAGCUUAGAGGAAGUUCCCACUUAAUGGAUAAAUAAAAUAGUGCAUUGGUCUUCAGUGACUGAUAAACUAUCAUUUUGGUGUUAUUCUCUGAUGCUAAUGGUGACCUGUACACUGCCUAAGUUUUGUGUAAUGUCAAAAUGCUGUUGUUUUCUUACAUGUGAUGUGCUGGUUAUCUCUGAUUUCGUUCAAGUUUUUUACAGACAGAAUUACUGAGCUAGUCCAGUGUAAAUAUUUGCACAUGCUUAGAUGGAAGAGAUUUUGUACACGCAGCAACGUUAUUGAACAACUUUAUCCUCUCUAUCAGAAGCGAAUUAGUCACAUCAUGGAGGAAUACAGUGAUGCAGUUCAGAGGGCUGCAAGACUUUCGGCUGCAAGGGAAACUUUCCUGACAGGAAAGAAAAAUCCGGUGAAUGUAGUGACACAGGAAGAUAUGAUGAUCUACACCCAGUGGUUAGUGUGUCACUUGCACUCUGUGAAGGGCAUUCACCAUUUUCUUCAGGUUCUCCAGCAUUUGCCUGUUUCUCGCAGAAUGAAUGUGGCUAGGGAGAAAUGUCCUGAUGUGGUCCAAGACAACUGGGACAUGUUAAGAAGUGCUCUUUACAAGAAUUCAGAUAUUUUUAACAUUAAUGUCUCUCUCUGCUCCAGAGUUAUACAAAAAAAUGAAUCCUGCUGCAAGGACGCUGGAUCCACUUUACCCCAGCACAGCACUGAAACAGAGGAGCUGAAACCUCAGCUCCAGCUUCUGCUUGCUCACUUUGACAUCAACUACAGCCUUAAGGAUCUGAAGAAUUCAGCUGAUGAGAUGGAGCUCUUUUUCCUGGUAACUGAAGAGUGCUUCUCAAUAUUAAAUAUAUACAUACAUAUAUGUAUACAUAUAUACACACACACACACACACACACACAUAUAUAUAUAUAGCUUUAAAGAUAUCAGUAGACAUUCCAGUUACUAUAACUCAGUGUUUUACAUUACAAAAUAAUAAGAUCCUGGGCAUUUUUAGUUUUGACAGGAUGUGGCAGAAAGGCCUGGAUCGCUUCCACUAAGCUAUAGCAACUGCUGAAAGUACCACAGCAUUCAUACUUUUCACGUUAUUACUCUGAGUCCACGUCUUUAUUCUCCUAGCUCUCACUCAGGCCUUUUAUGUGUCUUUCUUGAGUUUUCCUGCCCUCGUGUUAUAGCAUAUCACAGACCUGUUGUAUUUCCGCUAGAGGUCGGCCUUCUACACACCAUUGUAAAGGACCUCACCAAGCCUCUGCCGCUCAGGGGUUAUCAGCAAAACAGCUGUGCUUUUCACCUGUUACCUGACUUCAAAGGCCAAACCAACCAAAAAUCUCCAUCAUCUGUUCAGAGUGCGAGAGAUGCAUAGAAGUUAAACGUAAAUAACAUAUUGCUUAUAAAUACAGACAUCAUCUUAUAAAUCAUGCCUUUUUUUCAACCAGGUGGUAGAGCUGAAAAGGACAAAGUUUUGGAGAUGUAAGUUGUUUUGUAAGUCUAUACUCAAAUUAACGUUUGACUAGUCCAACUCAACUCACCGGAACGAUCCAAGAUAAGGACAGGCAGAAGUGUUUGCACAACUGGGCAAUACUGUACCUUGCUUUAUUGUAAAUUUCCUUCUAAAUUACCUUUAUUGUGGACCAGCAGUGGCUUACUCCUUUUUGGACAGGAUGCUCAUAGAGCUUAUUCUAGGCUAAUAUUGUUCCCAUCAAAGCUGACAAUAAUAAAUUUCCCAUUGACGAUAAGUAUUUUUGGAAA